Molecule: long non-coding RNA, 397 nt
Organism: Acanthaster planci (crown-of-thorns starfish)
Lineage: Eukaryota; Metazoa; Echinodermata; Asteroidea; Valvatida; Acanthasteridae
Source: RefSeq, a predicted model, not a curated record
AGCUCCCAGAAGAUACUCCGCUUGUGCCGGUGGUAGUAGUGGUACAGUGGGAUGUACUCGAUGCCCGGCCCCGACUUCAGGGUCCAGGAAAAGCAAUGGAGGUAUGCAACCCUGCUCAAGGACACAAAUACUGCUGACCGCUUGGUAUCCAGGUCGUGCUGUGCACAUGGGACGCUUUUCCCCAUCAGCCUUCCACUCUCGUACCUUUGAAUUACAGAAUUGGACUAAAUUAAAGACUGAAGGAAACAAAUGAUCGUGAAACCUGCAGACACUGCCAGACCUAAUUCAAGGAGAUGCUACCCUAGAAGUAGGGCGUUUGUCACGCCCACCACUCUCUUCGGAGAGCGCAGAGUGCAUGACGAACCCCGGGCACUGAGUUCUUUGGAGAAUGGAUAAG